UACGGGGGGAGCAAGCGUUGUUCGGAUUUACUGGGCGUAAAGGGCGCGUAGGCGGUCAGCACAAGUCAGUUGUGAAAUCUCCGGGCUUAACUCGGAAAGGUCAACUGAUACUGUGCGACUAGAGUGCGGAAGGGGCAACUGGAAUUCUCGGUAUAGCGGUGAAAUGCGUAGAUAUCGAGAGGAACACCUGCGGCGAAGGCGGGUUGCUGGGCCGACACUGACGCUGAUGCGCGAAAGCCAGGGGAGCGAACGGG
Molecule: ribosomal RNA, 254 nt
Filed under: uncultured bacterium
Lineage: Bacteria
Description: partial 16S ribosomal RNA
Rfam family: Bacterial small subunit ribosomal RNA
Source: RNAcentral